Amphibalanus amphitrite is the source of this 512-nucleotide long non-coding RNA. RefSeq lists it as uncharacterized. The record is from RefSeq and is a predicted model, not a curated record. The transcript has 2 exons. Lineage: Eukaryota; Metazoa; Arthropoda; Thecostraca; Balanomorpha; Balanidae.
CUGUCUUAAUCUGAACAGGAAGGAAACCUAGUUUUCAACAUAACAACAGCUUGUGUGAAGCUGUCACUUUCAGGGUGUGCGCCACCCAGUGUUCAUUUGUUAACAUCAAUAAUGUGUGACCACGAAAGGAAACCCUUCUGAAGAUCGAAGAUCCUGCUCGCAGCUAUGCCUCAUUGCCUACCAUGGCCAAAACCUCUUUGAGGUUUACCGUAGUGUUCUCCGUCUGAUUGUUAUGUGUUGAGGAUGAGCUGAAUGUUACUGAUAUUGAUACCUGAUAUCUAAUUGUGGUCAAUGUUUAGUGUAAUACUGUGACAUCUUCCAAUGCCAAAGUUUAUUUCCAACGAGCCAAAGCUUAUUUGCAUUGCAAUUACGAGCGGUAGUGUGAUGUGUGGAACGUGUAGUAAGUACCAUUGGGAACCACUUACUCUGUAACCCAAAGUGGCAUGUUUGCAUAUAUGAGAAUGUUCAGUGUUCAUCGUCUUUAGAUAAUAAAAGCAUUGGCAUACCAGGAA